UACGAAGGGUGCAAGCGUUGUUCGGAUUUAUUGGGCGUAAAGCGCACGUAGGUGGACUUGUAAGUCAGAUGUGAAAUCUCGGGGCUCAACCUCGAAACUGCGUCUGAAACUGCAAGUCUAGAAUCUUGGAGGGGGCAGGGGAAUUUCACAUGUAGGGGUAAAAUCCGUAGAUAUGUGAAGGAACACCAGAGGCGAAGGCGCCUGCCUGGACAAGUAUUGACACUGAGGUGCGAAAGCGUGGGGAUCAAACAGG
Molecule: ribosomal RNA, 253 nt
Filed under: uncultured bacterium
Lineage: Bacteria
Description: partial 16S ribosomal RNA
Rfam family: Bacterial small subunit ribosomal RNA
Source: RNAcentral